Non-coding RNA from Durio zibethinus, 2390 nucleotides. Lineage: Eukaryota; Viridiplantae; Streptophyta; Magnoliopsida; Malvales; Malvaceae. The record is from RefSeq and is a predicted model, not a curated record.
AGAAUCGUAUGUCUAACUUUCACUAAAAAUUUCAUUUUAAUGAGAUUUACUUGUAACCCUCGUUAAAAGUAAUUUUUAGUGUAAACUUAGUUUUGAUCCUCGCAAAUUGUUCUUUAUACAUGAAAUAAAUUUUCUACAACUAAAAACGGCACCCCGACCUCCCUAAAAACGCCACAAAAAACGCACACCAAAACACCUCACUCUCUAGGCGGCUACCUGCCAGCCUUUGCUUCUGUCUUCACGUAACCUUAGGUACCAACCUUCCUACCUCUCCGAUGGCAACCACUGAGAAAACUUAUCACCAUCACCACCACCACUAUAGCCUCCGUCGCUAAUACAUCGGCAGAUCCAAGCUCUAAGAAUACCAUGUACCGCGCCCGCCUUUCACGAGUCAGUCCGAUCCUCGUAGCACUGAUACUCCUGCUUCAGAGGUAUCUCGAAAGGAUAGCGAAAGUUCGAAGACACCGGGACUACUGUGGGCUCGGUAGCAGGGGAUAGCAGCGGUCCCGUUAACGAUACCCAAAAGAAGAUUCACCGAACUGAGCGGUUCGACGUAGUUGUCAAAUUGUCUGAGCAAGAGAAGCGUAAUUCUAGGGCUGAGAGAUGUGGAUCUUUGACACAAAUGAUGGAGACCCUCGUCUCCUACAGUUUCAAAGUUGACGCAGUGCUCCUCCACUUUGCAUUAGGAUUAGCAGAGCUGAGAGCUGUCUCAAGGUCACAUAUCUAAGCGAGCCAAGAAAUUAAGAAUGAAGCUUCUUAAUUUCGUAUUUUCAAUUUUGGGAGGAGGAACUAAAAUUAAAGCCAGUUAUUGCAUUUGAUUGUGGUACUAGCUUCCGCUAUAUGCUCUUUUAUCAUUUAGAAACAUGAGUCUGAUUCUUAUCCAUUUUUUAGUGAUGGAAUGUAUUUUGUUAUGUCCAAGUGAUCUAAGUCUGGCUCUCCCUCUCUUUAUCUAAUACAUGGUUUCUUUUUGUUUUAUCUGUUACCUUCAAAAAUUUCCUGCCUAUCUUAAAUUCAGCAAUUGUUGCUCUUUGGAAGUUUUGAAGCUUGGGUGUCCUAAACUAACUAGUCUCUUUCUCCAGGUAUGGUUAUGGUUUCUUUUUGUUUUAUAGGUUGCUCUUUGGAAGUUUUGAAGAUUGGCUGUCCUAGAUGUUUAAUGUUUGUCCUUUUUUUUUUUUUUGUAUCGGUGUUCUGAUGCUUUUCUAUUGGGAGUGUAUUGUUGAAGAUGCUUUUGUGACUGAUUUAUUUGCAAAUGCAAGAUUUUAUACAAGGAAGCACCGUAGGCGGUGAACCUUACUGGAAUCUUGCAUAAUGCCUAACAAUGGCUUUGUCAUGUGGACUUUCUUUUUUGGCCUUAAGAAUUUCCACCUACAAAGGAAUCUGAAGGAGAUGCUGUACUAUCUAAUAAAAGAAGCAGUAGUGUACUGUAUGCUUGCAAGGAUGAAGAUAUGGAAUUUGAGUUGGACUCUAAUGGUGUGAUGGACAUUGAUGACAUGCAUGAUGGAGAUGCCGUUCUUUGACCAGUCAGAUUUAGACGUUGAAGAGCCAGCAGGAAGAGGAAUGAACAUGCUUCUAGGUUACAAAAGUGUUUUUGAAUAUGAAAAAUUGAAGAAAAUUAGUGAAUGUACUCAUGGUAUUGUUUAUAGAGCUAAGGAUAAGAAGACGGACAAAAUUAUGACUCAGAAGAAGACCACCUGAACUUUUGCUUGGACCAAAGAAGUAUUCAACAGUGGUUGACAUGUGGUCUGUGGGCUGUAUAAUGGCUGAGUUGUUAGCUAAGGAAUCAUUCUUCAAAAGGACAAGCGAAAUUGAUCAGCUUAGCAAGCGAGAAGAUCUGGGCUGGUUUUUCUGAAUUACCUGAGGCCAAAGCAAAUUAUUCUAAGCAACCGUAUAAUUUGUUGCGCAGGAAGUUACCUGCAGUAUCUUUCACAGGAUCUCCAGUUCUCUCUGAUGUUGGAUUUGACCUGUUAAACAGGCUUUUUAUAUAUGAUCCUGAGAAAGUAAAUAUCUAGAAUAACAAAUGAUGCUCUUAAUCAUGAUUGGUACCAUGAGCUUUCUCUACCAAAAUCUAAAGAAUUCUUGCCUACUUUCCCCCCAAAAAUGUGAAUGGAAUAGGUGCCUGGCCUGAUAAUGAAAGCUUGACAGAACUGAAAAACAUAUUUAGGCUGCAUUUUUAGUUUACAGUCAGCUUAGUUUUGUUCGAAUGACUCCCCGGAAUAUACAAGGAACCUUGAAGGAUCUGAAUUCGAUGCAGUAGUGGUACAAAAAAUUUCUAUCUACUGAUUGUGUUAUGGGACAGGCAGAUUGGUAAAUACAGCUGCUACAUUUGAAAUUUGUAUGUGGAUGCAAAUAGGUUUUAUGCUUGGGAUAAAUAUUAUUUAUUUAUGUUUUAU